UACGGAGGAUCCAAGCGUUAUCCGGAUUUAUUGGGUUUAAAGGGUGCGUAGGCAGAUUGAUAAGUUAGAGGUGAAAUGUCCGAGCUCAACUCGGGAACUGCCUCUAAUACUGUUGAUCUAGAGAGUAGAUGCGGUAGGCGGAAUGUAUGGUGUAGCGGUGAAAUGCUUAGGGAUCAUACAGAACACCGAUUGCGAAGGCAGCUUACCAAUCUAUAUCUGACGUUGAGGCACGAAAGCGUGGGGAGCAAACAGG
RNAcentral lists this ribosomal RNA (253 nucleotides) under uncultured bacterium. Its description in RNAcentral is "partial 16S ribosomal RNA". It matches the Rfam family "Bacterial small subunit ribosomal RNA", at positions 524 to 776 of the family's 1533-position model. The record is from RNAcentral.